This 500-nucleotide ribosomal RNA is filed under the name uncultured bacterium. RNAcentral describes it as "bacterial SSU rRNA". It matches the Rfam family "Bacterial small subunit ribosomal RNA", at positions 1009 to 1512 of the family's 1533-position model. The record is from RNAcentral.
GGCGAAGCCCUUCGGGGCAGGGAGACAGGUGGUGCAUGGUUGUCGUCAGCUCGUGUCGUGAGAUGUUGGGUUAAGUCCCGCAACGAGCGCAACCCCUAUUAUUAGUUGCUACCAUUUAGUUGAGCACUCUAAUGAGACUGCCGUGGUUAACGCGGAGGAAGGUGGGGAUGACGUCAAAUCAUCAUGCCCCUUAUGUCUAGGGCUACACACGUGCUACAAUGGGCAGUACAGAGAGAUGCAACCUCGUGAGAGUGAGCUAAACUCUAAAACUGCUCCCAGUUCGGACUGUAGGCUGCAACUCGCCUACAUGAAGCCGGAGUUGCUAGUAAUCGCGAAUCAGCAUGUCGCGCUGAAUACGUUCCCGGGCCUUGUACACACCGCCCGUCACACCAUGAGAGUUAGCAAUACCCGAAGUCCGUGAGGUAACCGCAAGGAGCCAGCGGCCGAAGGUAGGGUUAGCGAUUGGGGUGAAGUCGUAACAAGGUAGCCGUAGGAGAACC